RNAcentral lists this ribosomal RNA (48 nucleotides) under Cordyceps militaris. RNAcentral's name for it is "partial 28S ribosomal RNA". Lineage: Eukaryota; Fungi; Ascomycota; Sordariomycetes; Hypocreales; Cordycipitaceae. The record is from RNAcentral. RNAcentral also lists the same sequence under 2 other names.
GUUGACCUCGGAUCAGGUAGGAAUACCCGCUGAACUUAAGCAUAUCUA